Molecule: non-coding RNA, 102 nt
Organism: Taeniopygia guttata (zebra finch)
Lineage: Eukaryota; Metazoa; Chordata; Aves; Passeriformes; Estrildidae
Source: RefSeq, marked provisional
GUUUCUGUGGGAGUUUCUGGGUGCAGCUGUAGGAGCCAGUGAUGGAAGAAAGGUUUUAUGGGCCACGCAGGCUCCUCGGCACAUCCAGGCUCUUACCCAAGC